RNAcentral lists this unclassified non-coding RNA (248 nucleotides) under Tremellomycetes sp. RNAcentral's name for it is "partial contains small subunit ribosomal RNA, internal transcribed spacer 1, and 5.8S ribosomal RNA". The stretch from base 1 to 46 matches the Rfam family "Eukaryotic small subunit ribosomal RNA", at positions 1786 to 1831 of the family's 1831-position model. Lineage: Eukaryota; Fungi; Basidiomycota; Tremellomycetes. The record is from RNAcentral.
AAGUCGUAACAAGGUUUCCGUAGGUGAACCUGCGGAAGGAUCAUUAGUGAAUUUUAGGGUGCUCUUCCUCAGCUGUUUAACCGGCCGAGUGAAGAGGCCUGACCUCCACUCUCCAACACUGUGCACACUUCGGCAUUGCGAACGCUGCUUGUCAGCUAGUAGCUUUGCGGCUUCAUUUUAACACUAGUCAAAGAAUGUAAAAAAACCAUAACAAAAAAAAACUUUCAACAACGGAUCUCUUGGCUCUC